This 460-nucleotide ribosomal RNA is filed under the name uncultured bacterium. RNAcentral's name for it is "partial 16S ribosomal RNA". It matches the Rfam family "Bacterial small subunit ribosomal RNA", at positions 338 to 795 of the family's 1533-position model. The record is from RNAcentral.
CCUACGGGGCGCAGCAGUGAGGAAUAUUGGUCAAUGGGCGUAAGCCUGAACCAGCCAAGUCGCGUGAGGGAUGAAGGUUCUAUGGAUCGUAAACCUCUUUUAUAAGGGAAUAAAGUGUGGGACGUGUCCUGUUUUGUAUGUACCUUAUGAAUAAGGAUCGGCUAACUCCGUGCCAGCAGCCGCGGUAAUACGGAGGAUCCGAGCGUUAUCCGGAUUUAUUGGGUUUAAAGGGUGCGUAGGCGGCCUUUUAAGUCAGCGGUGAAAGUCUGUGGCUCAACCAUAGAAUUGCCGUUGAAACUGGGAGGCUUGAGUAUGUUUGAGGCAGGCGGAAUGCGUGGUGUAGCGGUGAAAUGCUUAGAUAUCACGCAGAACCCCGAUUGCGAAGGCAGCCUGCCAAGCCAUGACUGACGCUGAUGCACGAGAGCGUGGGGAUCAAACAGGAUUAGAUACCCCAGUAGUC